GCCAUGUUCCACCACUGCUCCUGCUACUUAAAGAGCACAAGUUUCCACAGAGUCUUCGUACCACUCCACAACUGCCUCAGGAGCCACUAAACGAGUGUUGGGUUUCAGCCGGAGAUGGAAUUCCCUUCCAAACGCGGUGACGUUAAAAUACAGCUGUUUGGGGCUCUGGGAUACCUCCCGCGUUGAUCUUCUUUGAUGGCUUGCAGAGAGUACAUUGGAGAUAUAGCUUCCGUCUGCAUUGGUACUAAUUGGAAUCACUAACCCAUACGGCCUUGGUCUGCUUUUUGGUAAUUCUAUUUGGAUCUGUUGUUCUUCACCAGCCUGCCGGCCGGCUGCAGCGCGGGCCCCCAGGAGCGCGGCUGCCACUACCCACAGGGGCAGGAGCACCAUCACGAGCCGGCCGCCCGCGGACCGCCGCCCCGCGCGACCGCACGCUCCCGGCCCCGGCCGCGCUCUUCCUCUCCUCCUCCGUUCGCCUUCUUCUCCGGCUCUCUCUCCCUGCGAGCCCCCGCCUCGGCCGUCCCCGGGCUGCAGCACCCCGCUAGCGCCGGCGCCCCGGGGCCGGCGGCCGGGCGGGCUGGGCGCGAGCGGCGGUGGGGCGGCGAGCGACCGCGCCGCCUCCUGUUGCUCGCUGCGCCCUGCCUGCGCCACGCAUCGCGACCUGCGGCGCUAAUAAAGCCGCACCGGCCCCCGGGCGCGGCCCCGCCUUCGGCACGGCUCGGCACACCGACGUCAGGGCCGCCCAGCCGCCAGCGGCCGCCGGAGCCGCACCUGGGCCGGCCCGGGGCUCCGCCGCCCCCUCACAAAGGACGCGCCCCGAGCGGCCCGCCGAGGGGAGCGGGCGCGGGGCAGGUGCAGCGCGAGCCCGGGCAGCGCCUCAGGCCGCUGACAGGGCCGCAGUCCCGCGCCACAAAGAGCCGCGUCCCGGCCCGGGUGGAAACCCUAACUAACCCCCUCCCAGCGGCCUUCCCCGCGCAAAUCCCGCCGGGAGCUCUCCCUGUCCCGUACGUUCGCCUGGCAGAUGUGACGCCGUUGAGGCUCAGCAAGGAGAAGCCACGAACGGGCGAAAGCGGGGGUAUCCCCAAGGGGAGAAGCGAGCGAAAAGCUUUACGGAUGCUUUUUACUUGUAAACAAAUAUCCAGGGGGGAUAAAGAGCUCCCGCGUUCCUGCACUGCAGCAGUACUCAAAAGACG
Molecule: long non-coding RNA, 1193 nt
Filed under: Gallus gallus (chicken)
Lineage: Eukaryota; Metazoa; Chordata; Aves; Galliformes; Phasianidae
Source: RNAcentral